CCUACGGGAGGCUGCAGUGGGGAAUAUUGGACAAUGGGGGCAACCCUGAUCCAGCCAUGCCGCGUGUGUGAAGAAGGCCCUCGGGUUGUAAAGCACUUUCAGUGAGGAAGAACGCCUGGUGGUUAAUACCCAUCAGGAAAGACAUCACUCACAGAAGAAGCACCGGCUAACUCCGUGCCAGCAGCCGCGGUAAUACGGAGGGUGCGAGCGUUAAUCGGAAUUACUGGGCGUAAAGCGCGCGUAGGUGGCUUGAUAAGCCGGUUGUGAAAGCCCCGGGCUCAACCUGGGAACGGCAUCCGGAACUGUCGAGCUAGAGUGCAGGAGAGGAAGGUAGAAUUCCCGGUGUAGCGGUGAAAUGCGUAGAGAUCGGGAGGAAUACCAGUGGCGAAGGCGGCCUUCUGGACUGACACUGACACUGAGGUGCGAAAGCGUGGGUAGCAAACAGGAUUAGAUACCCUUGUAGUC
Molecule: ribosomal RNA, 465 nt
Filed under: Vreelandella stevensii
Lineage: Bacteria; Pseudomonadati; Pseudomonadota; Gammaproteobacteria; Oceanospirillales; Halomonadaceae
Description: partial 16S ribosomal RNA
Rfam family: Bacterial small subunit ribosomal RNA
Source: RNAcentral